AGUGAACGCUGGCGGUAGGCCUAACACAUGCAAGUCGAACGGCAGCACAGUAAGAGCUUGUUCUUACGGGUGGCGAGUGGCGGACGGGUGAGGCAUACAUCGGAAUCUACUAUUUCGUGGGGGAUAACGUAGAACAACUUACGCUAAUACCGCAUACUACCUACGGGUGAAAGCAGAAGUUCAUCGCACCUUGCGCGUUUGUUUGAGACGAUGUCGGAUUAGCUAGUUGGCGGGGUAAAGGCCCACCAAGGCAACGAUCCGUAGCUGGUCUGAGAGGAUGAUCAGCCACACUGGAACUGAGACACGGUCCAGACUCCUACGGGAGGCAGCAGUGGGGAAUAUUGGACAAUGGGCGAAAGCCUGAUGCAGCCAUACCGCGUGGGUGAAGAAGGCCUUCGGAUUGUAAAGCCCUGUUGUUGGGAAAGAAAAGCAGUAGGUUAAUAUCCGGAUGUUCUGACGGUACCUAAAGAAUAAGCACCGGCUAACUUCGUG
Molecule: ribosomal RNA, 492 nt
Filed under: uncultured bacterium
Lineage: Bacteria
Description: partial 16S ribosomal RNA
Rfam family: Bacterial small subunit ribosomal RNA
Source: RNAcentral